This 110-nucleotide non-coding RNA is filed under the name bovine gut metagenome. RNAcentral's name for it is "FMN riboswitch (RFN element)". It matches the Rfam family "FMN riboswitch aptamer (RFN element)". From Rfam's summary of the family: The RFN element is a highly conserved domain that is found frequently in the 5'-untranslated regions of prokaryotic mRNAs that encode for flavin mononucleotide (FMN) biosynthesis and transport proteins. This element is a metabolite-dependent riboswitch that directly binds FMN in the absence of proteins. The record is from RNAcentral.
UUAUCUUCAGGGUCGGGUGCGAUUCCCUACUGGCGGUAAAGUCCGCGUGCCAUAUGGCUGAUCCGGUGAAACUCCGGGACCAACGGUUAAAGUCCGGAUGAAAGGAGAGA